GAUGAACGCUGGCGGCGUGCCUAAUACAUGCAAGUCGAGCGAACAGAUGAGGAGCUUGCUCCUCUGACGUUAGCGGCGGACGGGUGAGUAACACGUGGAUAACCUACCUAUAAGACUGGGAUAACUUCGGGGAACCUGAGCUAAUACCGGAUAAUAUAUUGAACCGCAUGGUUCAAUAGUGAAAGACGGUUUUGCUGUCACUUAUAGAUGUAUCCGCGCCGCAUUAGCUAGUUGGUAAGGUAACGGCUUACCAAGGCAACGAUGCGUAGCCGACCUGAGAGGGUGAUCGGCCACACUGGAACUGAGACACGGUCCAGACUCCUACGGGAGGCAGCAGUAGGGAAUCUUCCGCAAUGGGCGAAAGCCUGACGGAGCAACGCCGCGUGAGUGAUGAAGGUCUUCGGAUCGUAAAACUCUGUUAUUAGGGAAGAACAAAUGUGUAAGUAACUAUGCACGUCUUGACGGUACCUAAUCAGAAAGCCACGGCUAACUACGUG
RNAcentral lists this ribosomal RNA (497 nucleotides) under uncultured bacterium. Its description in RNAcentral is "partial 16S ribosomal RNA". It matches the Rfam family "Bacterial small subunit ribosomal RNA", at positions 28 to 507 of the family's 1533-position model. The record is from RNAcentral.